UACGUAGGGUGCAAGCGUUGUCCGGAAUUAUUGGGCGUAAAGAGCUCGUAGGCGGUCUGUUACGUCGGCUGUGAAAACCUGGGCUCAACCCGGGCCCUGCAGCCGAUACGGGCAGACUAGAAUUCGGUAGGGGAGACUGGAAUUCCUGGUGUAGCGGUGAAAUGCGCAGAUAUCAGGAGGAACACCGGUGGCGGAGGCGGCAUUCUGGACUGCAACUGACACUGAAAGACGAAGCCAGGGGAGCAAACGGG
Molecule: ribosomal RNA, 251 nt
Filed under: uncultured bacterium
Lineage: Bacteria
Description: partial 16S ribosomal RNA
Rfam family: Bacterial small subunit ribosomal RNA
Source: RNAcentral